Molecule: transfer RNA, 70 nt
Filed under: Astur gentilis (Northern goshawk)
Lineage: Eukaryota; Metazoa; Chordata; Aves; Accipitriformes; Accipitridae
Description: Accipiter gentilis (Northern goshawk) tRNA-Pro
Rfam family: tRNA
About the family: Transfer RNA (tRNA) molecules are approximately 80 nucleotides in length.
Source: RNAcentral
CAGAGAAUAGUUUAAUGGAAAAUGCCAGCUUUGGGAGUUGGUGAUAGAGGUUUAAGUCCUCUUUUUCUGA